AUUUGUUCAACAAACAGGCAACACCUAAGGGCCAGGUCCUAGUCUAGGUGCCAUGGAUAGAGUGGUAAAGAAGACAGACAAACUUCCAGCUUCAUGAAGCUUACUAAAUUCCAGUGGUGAAAAGAGACAAUAAAUAAGGACAGUAGUGACUAGUGCUAUAAAGAAGAAUAAAGAAUAACACAGGUGAAUUAAGAGUCGAGUGCACAGUAAGAGUGGAGCAGAGGAGAGAGGUCUGAAAUAGUGUGUGAGAGAAGGGGAGAGUGAAUCGACCGGAGAAAGCCACAGUGCAACUGGGUGCAGGCAUGGAGAAAGUGGGAUUGGCUCAAUAAAGGGAUAAUUUAAAAGAUGAUGGAAAUGACUGCACCAAUUGAACCUUAAGAAGGUCAGUCAGCUUCUGCUUUUGCAAUUUUGAGAGCCCUUGAGUCAACAGGUCCAGCUACUUUGCUGGAGAGACCACAUGGAAAACCUUUUGGAGGGGCCACGCAGAGAGGCCGAGGCUCUGGGACUACUUGGGGAGAGAGAAAACUCUCACCUUCCCAGAAUUCCAGCUGAGCGCAGCCUCCCUGCUGCUCCCAGCACCUAGGUGCCAGACAUGAGAGUGAAGACAUCUUGGACAUUCCAGCCCCAGUCAUGUGCCUGCAGCUUCAUGACAGACUACUCGUGACACCAGCAGAAGAACCAUUCAGCUGAUCUUUAGUCAACUCACAGAAUCAUGGGAAAUAAUAAAAUGGUGGUUGUACUAGGUCGGUGCUCCCCGUAAGUUGAACCUAGUCCAAGGCAGAAGGAAAAGGAGCCUUCGAUGUUGUCCAUAAAGGUCAGACUCUCAGGUCACAGAGCAAGGGAGAGAAGAAUGGAGAUUGGCUCUGGAGAGGCAAACAGAAGAGAUUCAGCAGGGGCCACCCCCUUCCCCUUCAGCAUCAACUCUAGCUCUCCGUGCAAGUGAAAGUUGAUCUCCCUGUUACAGAACACAUCGAAGUCCUUCAGCUUCCGUAUUAUCAUGGGAAAAUGUUUGUUCAGUCAUAGUCCCACCUGGAACCCAAAAUCUUAGCCAACACUAGUGUUCUUCAUAUCAGGUGGCUAAGAUGAGGGGAGAAGGAUGUGGAAAAAUAAUCAAUUAAUAUCAAACCUAGCUAUUACCAUCCCUGCUUCUUGACUGGUCAUGAGGUCUAAGCAAGUGGUAAUCAUAUCUGUUUUCUUCCACAUUCACUUCAUGUUUCUCUUACCCUCUGAUACCACCUCAGCUUCAUGGGGUUCUUUACCUGGUAGGGUGACUCAAACCUUCAUUCCUGUGGGAUUUGAGUCCUUACUGGUCCUGUUUUAUUCCAUUGCUACAGUUUCCCGUUGACUAGGACAAUUGGCCGAGUGAGUACUAGGAGGCACCUAGUGAUUCCUCUGGGCUCCAAAUAUAGUUCUGUCCCAUCCUUGUGUAGCAGCAACCCAGUUUCUCCCUGGUAAUCAGGAUCAAUGACCCUGGUCAGCACAGUAGCCCCAUUCUCCACAUUGCUCCCUUGGCCACUAGGAUCUUUAAAUCCAAAGAGGCCAAGGUCAUAGGGACAAAAAGCAAAAUUCUUCAAGUGUAAUAGUGAGAGGUGCCACUCCCAGCUCCAACCCUUGGUUCCCAGGCCCAUGCAUUCUGGCUAAGGAAAAGAAGACAUGAUAUAUUGGUCACUGGUUAAAAGUAUACCUCAAUUUACAGAUCAGCAGCCCAACCUCACAGGGUGAUGUCUCCCAGCUGCUUUCAGGCCUAAGCCUUCACCAGGCCACUCCACUGUUCUAUUAAACCACUACUUCUGUGUAACGGGGCAUGUGGUAAGAUCGGCGACGUUCACAGAUGCUGAGGGCAUGGCUCCACUUCUUUUGCCAUAAAAGGCAGCCCCUUCUCUUAGGCAAUGUUGUGUGGGACAUGAUGAUGGUGGAUAAGUUGUUCCAAGAGCCUGAAAACAGGUAGAACUGGCAGAAGCACUGAGAUCUUGCCACUGAUUUUCCAAAACUAAUCUUUCCAAGUCCCUGGCCAACUGAGUCACUGUCCAUGUGUCACUAUUGUUCUGUACCUCAGGCUAUCUCUUUUUUCACGUGAAGUGGGUACAGCAUCCAGAGUUCUGCCCAUAGGGAUUUCCCUUCACCGUUAUCUUUCUGGGCCACCCUUUGGCAGAGUGCUAGUGUAGCAGCCACCCACUUCCAGCUGGUCCUGGCAUAACAGGAAGAUCCAUCAACAAAUCUAGCCUGUGUUUUCCUCUAUUCACUGGCCCUGUAGAACUCAAUCACAGGGCCCUGGUGUAGAUUGAGAAAGAGGCUGCAAAGCAGUAGGAGCAGGAGCAUGGGGCUCUGUGCCACCUGCUUAUGCAAUUUCCUUGUGUCUUCCAGACCUGCUUACGAAGCUUUCUAAGAAAUCUGCUGUGCAAUCUUGAUAUUUUGGGAAUAUAUAACACCCGGUUCAUGAUGGGCAGGUUGGGUCACAGGUGUCUGUUAGGGCUCAGUAGCUAUCCAGGAG
This is a long non-coding RNA of Equus caballus (horse), 2491 nucleotides long. The record is from Ensembl. Lineage: Eukaryota; Metazoa; Chordata; Mammalia; Perissodactyla; Equidae.